GGGUGAUCUGGCUGCGACAUCUGUCAUCCCAGUGAUCACCAGGGGUGAUUUGGCUGACCUGACUGUCUAGACAGAGGGCCCUCUUUUGCC
RNAcentral lists this small RNA (90 nucleotides) under Salvator merianae (Argentine black and white tegu). RNAcentral's name for it is "7SK RNA (ENSSMRG00000000254.1)". It matches the Rfam family "7SK RNA", at positions 9 to 98 of the family's 331-position model. From Rfam's summary of the family: 7SK was discovered as an abundant small nuclear RNA in the mid-70s but a possible function has only recently been suggested. Two independent studies have found that 7SK RNA binds the CDK9/cyclin T complex (known as elongation factor P-TEFb). P-TEFb activates transcription by phosphorylating the C-terminal domain of RNA polymerase II. The record is from RNAcentral. Lineage: Eukaryota; Metazoa; Chordata; Lepidosauria; Squamata; Teiidae.